UACGGAGGGGGCCAGCGUUGUUCGGAAUCAUUGGGCGUAAAGGGCGCGUAGGCGGCCACGCAAGUCGGAUGUGAAAUCCCUCGGCUCAACCGAGGAACUGCAUCCGAAACUGCGAGGCUCGAGUCCUGGAGAGGGUAGUGGAAUUCCCAGUGUAGCGGUGAAAUGCGUAGAUACUGGGAGGAACACCGGUGGCGAAGGCGGCUACCUGGACAGGUACUGACGCUGAUGCGCGAAAGCCAGGGGAGCAAACAGG
RNAcentral lists this ribosomal RNA (253 nucleotides) under uncultured bacterium. RNAcentral describes it as "partial 16S ribosomal RNA". It matches the Rfam family "Bacterial small subunit ribosomal RNA", at positions 524 to 776 of the family's 1533-position model. RNAcentral also lists the same sequence under 1 other name. The record is from RNAcentral.